CAGGCCUAACACAUGCAAGUCGAGCGGAUGAAGAGAGCUUGCUCUCUGAUUCAGCGGCGGACGGGUGAGUAAUGCCUAGGAAUCUGCCUGAUAGUGGGGGACAACGUUUCGAAAGGAACGCUAAUACCGCAUACGUCCUACGGGAGAAAGCAGGGGACCUUCGGGCCUUGCGCUAUCAGAUGAGCCUAGGUCGGAUUAGCUAGUUGGUGAGGUAACGGCUCACCAAGGCGACGAUCCGUAACUGGUCUGAGAGGAUGAUCAGUCACACUGGAACUGAGACACGGUCCAGACUCCUACGGGAGGCAGCAGUGGGGAAUAUUGGACAAUGGGCGAAAGCCUGAUCCAGCCAUGCCGCGUGUGUGAAGAAGGUCUUCGGAUUGUAAAGCACUUUAAGUUGGGAGGAAGGGCAUUAACCUAAUACGUUAGUGUUUUGACGUUACCGACAGAAUAAGCACCGGCUAACUUCGUGCCAGCAGCCGCGGUAAUACGAAGGGUGCAAGCGUUAAUCGGAAUUACUGGGCGUAAAGCGCGCGUAGGUGGUUUGUUAAGUUGAAUGUGAAAGCCCCGGGCUCAACCUGGGAACUGCAUCCAAAACUGGCAAGCUAGAGUAUGGCAGAGGGUGGUGGAAUUUCCUGUGUAGCGGUGAAAUGCGUAGAUAUAGGAAGGAACACCAGUGGCGAAGGCGACCACCUGGGCUAAUACUGACACUGAGGUGCGAAAGCGUGGGGAGCAACAGGAUUA
Molecule: ribosomal RNA, 741 nt
Filed under: uncultured bacterium
Lineage: Bacteria
Description: bacterial SSU rRNA
Rfam family: Bacterial small subunit ribosomal RNA
Source: RNAcentral